Molecule: non-coding RNA, 543 nt
Organism: Taeniopygia guttata (zebra finch)
Lineage: Eukaryota; Metazoa; Chordata; Aves; Passeriformes; Estrildidae
Source: RefSeq, a predicted model, not a curated record
UUCCACACCAUGAGGCUGAGAGGCUUUUGUUUUCUCUGCCACCAGAACACAGUGGCAGAAAAUGGGCAGCCCUGUGCUACCAAUGCAACCCCAGCAAUUUAAAAGAAAGCCUCACCCCUGCCUCACCACGGGGAGCAAAGUGCUCAGCCCAGGCCCAAACCCAGCUGAAAAAUGCCAACAAGAACAAAAGCAGAACUGCUCAGGCAGGAGCCCCAGUCCUGACCGAGGUGCCUUUGCCUCUCGGGAGGAGCUGGACAGCAGUGCUCCAGAGAGAAACCAGAUGUGCAAGCCCAGGCAGGCUCCAGAUCAGGAAGGCUGCUGUGGUUGUCUCCAUCCAUCGAGGGAGAGUUUGCUGCCACCUUAGGGUCUGUCAGCACAGCUGAGGAGCUCGGUCCCAGCUCCUGGGAGUGUAGAAUACUGGUUUGCCUGGCUGUCCAUGCAGUCUCAUGGUGAAGAGCACAAUUCCCUUCUGGCCAAGGCCUCCAGCAGAAAACCUGGGGGCUAAGGCCAUACUGCAAUAAAAGUUACAAUGGUUCAGUUUCA